CGGGUGAGUAAUGUAUGGGGAUCUGCCUGAUGGCGGGGGAUAACUACUGGAAACGGCAGCUAAUACCGCAUAAUGUCUACGGACCAAAGCGGGGGACCUCCGGGCCUCGCGCCAUCAGAUGAACCCAUAUGGGAUUAGCUAGUAGGUAAGGUAACGGCUUACCUAGGCGACGAUCCCUAGCUGGUCUGAGAGGAUGAUCAGCCACACUGGGACUGAGACACGGCCCAG
RNAcentral lists this ribosomal RNA (228 nucleotides) under uncultured bacterium. RNAcentral's name for it is "partial 16S ribosomal RNA". It matches the Rfam family "Bacterial small subunit ribosomal RNA", at positions 103 to 334 of the family's 1533-position model. The record is from RNAcentral.